CACACCGCCCGUCACACCAUGGGAGUUGGCUGCACCAGAAGCCGGUAGCCUAACCGCAAGGGGAGCGCCGUCCACGGUGUGGUCAAUGACUGGGGUG
This 97-nucleotide ribosomal RNA is filed under the name uncultured bacterium. Its description in RNAcentral is "partial 16S ribosomal RNA". It matches the Rfam family "Bacterial small subunit ribosomal RNA", at positions 1386 to 1482 of the family's 1533-position model. The record is from RNAcentral.